This 253-nucleotide ribosomal RNA is filed under the name uncultured prokaryote. RNAcentral describes it as "partial 16S ribosomal RNA". It matches the Rfam family "Bacterial small subunit ribosomal RNA", at positions 524 to 776 of the family's 1533-position model. The record is from RNAcentral.
UACGGAGGGUGCAAGCGUUAUCCGGAUUUACUGGGCGUAAAGAGCGCGCAGGCGGUCGAUCAAGUCGAGUGUGAAAGCCCCCGGCUCAACUGGGGAGGGUCAUUCGAUACUGAUCGACUCGAAGGCAGGAGAGGGUAGCGGAAUUCACGGUGUAGCAGUGAGAUGCGUAGAUAUCGUGAGGAACACCAGAGGCGAAGGCGGCUACCUGGACAAUUACUGACGCUCAGGCACGAAAGCGUGGGGAGCAAAAGGG